AUGCAAUCUUUGCUCCGGAAUGUCUGCCGAGCCGGAAACCGCGGGGCUGCGGCGAGGCUCCUGGAGUUUGCUGCUCCUGUAGCCACUCAGCCGCCAUCCUCGGCCAUCAAACACCUCAGGCCUUGCGGGUUCACUCCUCCAACUGGGAAUCGGUUCAUUUCCCGUGAUGGUGUUCCUGCCUCCUCUGGUUUCUGCGCAAAAGUUCUCAUGACGAGGGGUUUGUCGACGGUGGGAACUGCUGAGGUCGCCGAGGACGAGGACGAUUCCAGCUCCCCUGCGGUUGAGCACCCCCCACGCAUCAAGUUCAAGAGGCCCGACAAGACUGCAAGACACAUUAUGAACAUCUUGAACAAAGAGGCGGUUGAAAAGGUCCGCACGGAGAGGGAGAUUCCUGAUGUGCAGCCUGGAUGCAUCAUUCAGAUGAGAUUGCAAGUUCCUGAGAACAAACGGCGAGAGUCUACGUUGAAAGGGAUUGUGAUAGCAAGGCGCAAUGCUGGGAUAAAUACAACCUUCAGAUUGCGUAGAUUAGUAGCUGGUGUGGGAGUCGAGUCCGUCUUUCCACUUUACUCACCAAACAUCAAAGAAAUGAAGAUCUUGGACAGGAAGAAAGUCAGGAGAGCUAAGCUGUAUUACCUGAGAGACAGGAUGAAUGCACUUAAAAAAUGA
This 666-nucleotide ribosomal RNA is filed under the name Triticum aestivum (bread wheat). RNAcentral describes it as "partial small subunit ribosomal RNA". Lineage: Eukaryota; Viridiplantae; Streptophyta; Magnoliopsida; Poales; Poaceae. The record is from RNAcentral.